This 468-nucleotide ribosomal RNA is filed under the name uncultured bacterium. RNAcentral describes it as "partial 16S ribosomal RNA". It matches the Rfam family "Bacterial small subunit ribosomal RNA", at positions 28 to 507 of the family's 1533-position model. The record is from RNAcentral.
GACGAACGCUGGCGGCGUGCUUAACACAUGCAAGUCGAACGGUGAAGCUCCAGCUUGCUGGAGUGGAUCAGUGGCGAACGGGUGAGUAACACGUGAGCAACCUGCCCCUGACUCUGGAAUAAGCGCUGGAAACGGCGUCUAAUACUGGAUACGAGAAGGGUCCGCAUGGGCACUUUCUGGAAAGUUUUUCGGUUGGGGAUGGGCUCGCGGCCUAUCAGCUUGUUGGUGAGGUAAUGGCUCACCAAGGCGACGACGGGUAGCCGGCCCGAGAGGGCGACCGGCCACACUGGGACUGAGACACGGCCCAGACUCCUACGGGAGGCAGCAGUGGGGAAUAUUGCACAAUGGGCGAAAGCCUGAUGCAGCGACGCCGCGUGAGGGAUGACGGCCUUCGGGUUGUAAACCUCUAUCAGCAGGGAAGAAGCGAAAGUGACGGUACCUGCAGAAGAAGCACCGGCUAACUACGUG